This 431-nucleotide ribosomal RNA is filed under the name uncultured bacterium. RNAcentral's name for it is "bacterial SSU rRNA". It matches the Rfam family "Bacterial small subunit ribosomal RNA", at positions 76 to 518 of the family's 1533-position model. The record is from RNAcentral.
AAUUGAAACUUUGACUUAGUGGCGGACGGGUGAGGUAAUGCAUGAGCAACCUGCCCUGGAGAGGGGGACAACAGACUGGAAACGGCUGCUAAUAACCGCAUGAUGUUGCGGGGAGGCAUCUUCCUGCAACCAAAGAUUUAUCGCUCUGGGAUGGGCUCAUGUCUGAUUAGAUAGUUGGCGGGGCAACGGCCCACCAAGUCUGCGAUCAGUAGCCGGACUGAGAGGUUGAACGGCCACAUUGGGACUGAGAUACGGCCCAGACUCCUACGGGAGGCAGCAGUGGGGAAUAUUGGGCAAUGGGCGCAAAGCCUGACCCAGCAACGCCGCGUGAAGGAAGAAGGCUUUCGGGUUAGUAAACUUCUUUUAUCAGGGACGAAGAAAGUGACGGUACCUGAUGAAUAAGCCACGGCUAACUACGUGCCAGCCGCCGC